Thamnophis elegans (Western terrestrial garter snake) is the source of this 320-nucleotide long non-coding RNA. RefSeq lists it as uncharacterized. The transcript has 2 exons. NCBI's taxonomy places the organism in Eukaryota, Metazoa, Chordata, Lepidosauria, Squamata, Natricidae. The record is from RefSeq and is a predicted model, not a curated record.
UUCGCAGGGACCGCCGUGAACUGGUUGAAACCCACCCCUGCCCCUCCCUCCCUCCCUCUCUCUCCCUCUCGCCAUAAUCCCUUCUGAGUAUAUUGAGGGCUUCUCCACAUCUGGUAUCUGAAAUGGUCCACCUUUACAUCUGGAGAUAAAACCAAAUGAAGAAACCAAACCCGCUUUCUAGAUAUAAGAGAUCAUGUUGACCAUAUUUGAGGUGAAGGGGUAGCAUCUUCCCACACUCGAGGGGCUUUCACAGAGAAUAGGGGGUCAUUCUCCAAAGUACUAGAAGGUAGAGGAAGCAAUGGAUGGAAACUCAUUAAGGA